RNAcentral lists this ribosomal RNA (498 nucleotides) under uncultured bacterium. RNAcentral describes it as "partial 16S ribosomal RNA". It matches the Rfam family "Bacterial small subunit ribosomal RNA", at positions 30 to 523 of the family's 1533-position model. The record is from RNAcentral.
AUUGAACGCUGGCGGCAUGCCUCACACAUGCAAGUCGAACGGUAACAGGUCUUCGGAUGCUGACGAGUGGCGAACGGGUGAGUAAUACAUCGGAACGUGCCUAGUAGUGGGGGAUAACUACUCGAAAGAGUGGCUAAUACCGCAUGAGAUCUACGGAUGAAAGCAGGGGAUCGCAAGACCUUGUGCUACUAGAGCGGCCGAUGGCAGAUUAGGUAGUUGGUGGGAUAAAAGCUUACCAAGCCGACGAUCUGUAGCUGGUCUGAGAGGACGAUCAGCCACACUGGGACUGAGACACGGCCCAGACUCCUACGGGAGGCAGCAGUGGGGAAUUUUGGACAAUGGGCGAAAGCCUGAUCCAGCAAUGCCGCGUGCAGGAUGAAGGCCUUCGGGUUGUAAACUGCUUUUGUACGGAACGAAAAGCCCCGGGUUAAUACCCUGGGGUCAUGACGGGACCGUAAGAAUAAGCACCGGCUAACUACGUGCCAGCCGCCGCGGUAA